GACGCUGGGUGGCGUGCUUAACACAUGCAAGUCGAACGAGAAAAAUUCCUUCGGGGAUUUAGUAAAGUGGCGCAAGGGUGAGUAACACGUGAAUAAUCUGCCCUCGAGAUCGGGAUAACAUGGUGAAAACUAUGCUAAUACCGGAUAAGACCACAUCUCAUAAGAGAUGCGGGAAAAGGAGUCUCAAUCUUCACUCGAGGAUGAGUUCGCGCAACAUUAGCUUGUUGGUGAGAUAAAAGCUCACCAAGGCUACGAUGUUUAGCCGGCCUGAGAGGGUGAUCGGCCACACUGGAACUGAGACACGGUCCAGACUCCUACGGGAGGCAGCAGUGGGGAAUAUUGCGCAAUGGGCGAAAGCCUGACGCAGCAACGCCGUGUGAGCGAUGAAGGCUUUAGGGUCGUAAAGCUCUGUCAAAUGGGAAGAAUUAUGACGGUACCAUUAGAGGAAGCCCCGGCUAACUCCGUGCCAGCAGCCGCGGUAAUACGGAGGGGGCAAGCGUUGUUCGGAAUUAUUGGGCGUAAAGCGUAUGUAGGCGGCUAGGUAAGUCAGGCGUGCAAGCCCGUGGCUCAACCACGGAAUUGCGUUUGAAACUGUUUAGCUUGAGUACAGGAGAGGAAAGCGGAAUUCCCAGUGUAGCGGUGAAAUGCAUUGAUAUUGGGAAGAACAUCUGUGGCGAAGGCGGCUUUCUGGUCUGUUACUGACGCUGAGAUACGAAAGCCAGGGGAGCAAAGGGGAUUAGAUACCCCCGUAGUCCUGGCUGUAAACGAUGGGCACUAGGUGCAGGAGGUAUCGAUCCCCUCUGUGCCGCAGCUAACGCGUUAAGUGCCCCGCCUGGGGAGUACGGUCGCAAGGCGACU
RNAcentral lists this ribosomal RNA (858 nucleotides) under Nitrospina sp. SCGC AAA288-E23. Its description in RNAcentral is "SSU rRNA". It matches the Rfam family "Bacterial small subunit ribosomal RNA", at positions 32 to 899 of the family's 1533-position model. The record is from RNAcentral. Lineage: Bacteria; Pseudomonadati; Nitrospinota; Nitrospinia; Nitrospinales; Nitrospinaceae.